This 261-nucleotide long non-coding RNA is filed under the name Vitis vinifera (wine grape). RNAcentral describes it as "long non-coding RNA (VVIN_LNC001299)". Lineage: Eukaryota; Viridiplantae; Streptophyta; Magnoliopsida; Vitales; Vitaceae. The record is from RNAcentral.
AUACAUGAAUCUGACAGAAUCUAACAGGUAGCGCCAUAAUCUUGUAGUAAUACAUGAAUCUGACAGAAUCUAACAGAUAGUGCCAUAAUCUUGUAGUAAUACUCCUAAUCCAACUCCGAAGUCAUCCAAUAUUGUUACUACACACUUUCAAACUUUCCAUAAAACAUAUCUAUUACUUACUCAGUAUUCCUAGGGGAUUUCGAAUGAGUACAUAGUUCCGACAUUAAAGCAAUGAAGGCCCAUCAGAGAUCACGAAUUUCU